Molecule: long non-coding RNA, 842 nt
Organism: Daucus carota subsp. sativus
Lineage: Eukaryota; Viridiplantae; Streptophyta; Magnoliopsida; Apiales; Apiaceae
Exons: 3
Source: RefSeq, a predicted model, not a curated record
AAUCUAUUUCAGUGAUUUACUAUUUUAAAAUGAUUUAUUUAGUCAUUAUUUCAAUUAUUGUGCAUUAUCUUGUAAAAUUCAUAUAAAAUAAUCUAUGCGCUCAAAAAUUAUUUUUAAAAUAUGGGGAGAGAGGUAAUUUCAUAUUCUAUAUUUUAAAAAUAUAGUUCGAGUUCUUCAGAGCAAUUUCAUAGCAAUUUUAUAAUUUACAAGCUCACUUUCAGGAUUUUCAGCAUAUAUUAAUGUAAAGUUAAAAUCAGUUUUUAAUGCAGAAUGACCAUUAUACCCCCUGCGUUUUUCUCCCUUAAAUCAGACCCCCACCCCCCAUUCUCUUCUUCUGGGUCGCGAGCAAAACUCUCCAAACCCUAUCUCUUUUGUUUCUCUUCUCACUAGAUAUAAACUCUUGCUCUCUCUUGGAGAUUCGAAAGACGAGGUCGCGAAGCUUAAGAAAGGAAAGGCUCCAUUAGGUGACAGUUAGAGGAUUACUUUAUCAAGUGGAAAACGAGUUGAGCUAAGCAAGAGGAAGAUGGCCAGAUAUAGGUGCUCAGUUUGUUAGACUGUCUACAUCCCCCUCUCUGUUUCGUGAGAUUACUUUACCAGCUCAGGUAGAGGACGCUUUGGAUAGUCAGUGGAGAGUAAGUAUGUUAGUAUGGACCGUUGAAAACAGUACCUUUGAGAUGUUUUAUAUAAUUCCAAGUCGGAAUUAUGGUUGAUGCUAUUUAUUAAGGGUCUGUAAUAAGUUUAUAACUUAUUAUUUUGGUUAGUAGUUGUAACUUGUUUCAUACCAUCACCUGUUAAAGAUCCUUGUGGUGUAAAGGGGUUGAGUAUUUAUAUUGUUAAAUCCA